Molecule: ribosomal RNA, 470 nt
Filed under: uncultured organism
Description: partial 16S ribosomal RNA
Rfam family: Bacterial small subunit ribosomal RNA
Source: RNAcentral
ACUCCUGCGGGAGGCAGCAGUGGGGAAUUUUGGACAAUGGGCGAAAGCCUGAUCCAGCAAUGCCGCGUGAGUGAAGAAGGCCUUCGGGUUGUAAAGCUCUUUUGUCAGGGAAGAAACGGUGAAAGCUAAUAUCUUUUGCUAAUGACGGUACCUGAAGAAUAAGCACCGGCUAACUACGUGCCAGCAGCCGCGGUAAUACGUAGGGUGCAAGCGUUAAUCGGAAUUACUGGGCGUAAAGCGUGCGCAGGCGGUUUUGUAAGUCUGAUGUGAAAUCCCCGGGCUCAACCUGGGAAUUGCAUUGGAGACUGCAAGGCUAGAAUCUGGCAGAGGGGGGUAGAAUUCCACGUGUAGCAGUGAAAUGCGUAGAUAUGUGGAGGAACACCGAUGGCGAAGGCAGCCCCCUGGGUCAAGAUUGACGCUCAUGCACGAAAGCGUGGGGAGCAAACAGGAUUAGAAACCCGUGUAGUCCC